Molecule: long non-coding RNA, 240 nt
Organism: Bufo bufo (common toad)
Lineage: Eukaryota; Metazoa; Chordata; Amphibia; Anura; Bufonidae
Exons: 2
Source: RefSeq, a predicted model, not a curated record
AUCUGAGGUCUGUUGAAGAUGGGGGUCUGAUCUGAGGUCUGUUGAAGAUGGGGGGGGAAGCUCUGAUCUGAGGUCUGAUGAAGAUUAGGGGUCUGAUCUGAGGUCUGAUGAAGAUUGGGGAGCUCUGAUCUGCAGUUUGAUGAACAUUGGGGGUAACUAUUGAGAAAUAUUUUUCUCAUUUGCCUCCUCCGGCUUAUAGACAGAAAAAAAUCAUCUGUAAUACCAGACUAUGAACUGGGA